Non-coding RNA from Pelodiscus sinensis (Chinese soft-shelled turtle), 446 nucleotides. NCBI's taxonomy places the organism in Eukaryota, Metazoa, Chordata, Testudines, Trionychidae. The record is from RefSeq and is a predicted model, not a curated record.
UCCAGUCGGUGUCCGAAUGCGGGUACCUUGAGCACCAGCGCGGUGUCCGUAGCCACCGGCAGGAGCAGAGAUGAGACCCAUUAAGCGUAGCAAUAAAGUACCGCGUGGGGGAAGCAAGGAACAAAAAGAAAAGGGAGUGAUGGUUUGUCCAUCACGCUGAGAGCUUGGUUUUACAGAAGUUGUCGCAACCUGCUUUUACAGAAGUUGUCGCAACCUGCUUUGUAACGGAAGCGAACUGCGAAAGGCAGCCAUCUGCUUCCACUAAUGCCUGAUCCGGGAGAGAUGCGACGACUCGACUGACUCCUUUGUCCACUGGGCGGCGAUAGUGGUUACCAACAUCGUCUAUUGUCUAAGAAAGCCUCUUGGUCCGCGGAGAACAAUACUUUUAGUGCUGCUUUGCUGAUGUAGUUCACAUGUUCUUUGUCCUGAGAAAGCUUUUUUCUUUC